This 507-nucleotide ribosomal RNA is filed under the name uncultured bacterium. Its description in RNAcentral is "partial 16S ribosomal RNA". It matches the Rfam family "Bacterial small subunit ribosomal RNA", at positions 30 to 523 of the family's 1533-position model. The record is from RNAcentral.
AUUGAACGCUGGCGGCAGGCCUAACACAUGCAAGUCGAGCGGCAGCGGAAGGAAGCUUGCUUCCUUGCCGGCGAGCGGCGGACGGGUGAGUAAGGUAUGGGGAUCUGGCCGAAGGCGGGGGAUAACCACUGGAAACGGUGGCUAAUACCGCAUAAUCUCUAAGGAGCAAAGUGGGGGACCGUUCGGGCCUCACACCUUCGGAUGAACCCAUAUGAGAUUAGCUAGUAGGUGGGGUAAUGGCUCACCUAGGCGACGAUCUCUAGCUGGUCUGAGAGGAUGAUCAGCCACACUGGGACUGAGACACGGCCCAGACUCCUACGGGAGGCAGCAGUGGGGAAUAUUGCACAAUGGGCGCAAGCCUGAUGCAGCCAUGCCGCGUGUAUGAAGAAGGCCUUCGGGUUGUAAGGUACUUUCAGUCGUGAGGAAGGUGUUAAGGUUAAUAACCUUAGCAAUUGACGUUAGCGACAGAAGAAGCACCGGCUAACUCCGUGCCAGCAGCCGCGGUAA